This 253-nucleotide ribosomal RNA is filed under the name uncultured bacterium. RNAcentral describes it as "partial 16S ribosomal RNA". It matches the Rfam family "Bacterial small subunit ribosomal RNA", at positions 524 to 776 of the family's 1533-position model. The record is from RNAcentral.
UACAGAGGGUGCGAGCGUUAAUCGGAAUUAUUGGGCGUAAAGCGCGUGUAGGCGGCUUAGCAAGUCGGGCGUGAAAGCCCUCGGCUCAACCGAGGAAGUGCACCCGAAACUGCUGAGCUUGAGUGCCGGAGAGGAUGGCGGAAUACCCCAAGUAGAGGUGAAAUUCGUAGAUAUGGGGUGGAACACCGGUGGCGAAGGCGGCCAUCUGGACGGUAACUGACGCUGAGACGCGAAAGCGUGGGGAGCAAACAGG